RNAcentral lists this ribosomal RNA (496 nucleotides) under uncultured bacterium. RNAcentral describes it as "partial 16S ribosomal RNA". It matches the Rfam family "Bacterial small subunit ribosomal RNA", at positions 29 to 507 of the family's 1533-position model. The record is from RNAcentral.
AUGAACGCUGGCGGCGUGCCUAAUACAUGCAAGUCGAGCGAACAGACGAGGAGCUUGCUCCUCUGACGUUAGCGGCGGACGGGUGAGUAACACGUGGAUAACCUACCUAUAAGACUGGGAUAACUUCGGGAAACCGGAGCUAAUACCGGAUAAUAUAUUGAACCGCAUGGUUCAAUAGUGAAAGACGGUUUUGCUGUCACUUAUAGAUGGAUCCGCGCCGCAUUAGCUAGUUGGUAAGGUAACGGCUUACCAAGGCAACGAUGCGUAGCCGACCUGAGAGGGUGAUCGGCCACACUGGAACUGAGACACGGUCCAGACUCCUACGGGAGGCAGCAGUAGGGAAUCUUCCGCAAUGGGCGAAAGCUUGACGGAGCAACGCCGCGUGAGUGAUGAAGGUCUUCGGAUCGUAAAACUCUGUUAUUAGGGAAGAACAAAUGUGUAAGUAACUAUGCACGUCUUGACGGUACCAAAUCAGAAAGCCACGGCUAACUACGUG